GACGAACCGUGCGAACGUUGUUCGGAAUCACUGGGCUUAAAGGGCGCGUAGGCGGGCUAUCAAGUCCGGGGUGAAAUCCUCCAGCUCAACUGGAGAACGGCCUCGGAUACUGAUGGUCUCGAGGGGGAUAGGGGCACACGGGAACUGUGGGUGGAGCGGUGAAAUGCGUUGAUAUCCAUAGGAACUCCGGUGGCGAAAGCGGUGUGCUGGAUCCCUUCUGACGCUGAGGCG
RNAcentral lists this ribosomal RNA (231 nucleotides) under uncultured bacterium. RNAcentral's name for it is "partial 16S ribosomal RNA". It matches the Rfam family "Bacterial small subunit ribosomal RNA", at positions 524 to 753 of the family's 1533-position model. The record is from RNAcentral.